Molecule: long non-coding RNA, 1672 nt
Filed under: Sparus aurata (gilthead seabream)
Lineage: Eukaryota; Metazoa; Chordata; Actinopteri; Spariformes; Sparidae
Description: lncRNA (ENSSAUG00010008599.1)
Source: RNAcentral
AUGGUAAGCUUGUUGAAAGACUUUUUUUUUUUUAUGCUAGCCGAGCGAGUGAGUGGGCGACCAAGAGUGAGGGAGCUCCGUCAGGACAGAGUGCGCUGCUCAGUCAGAGCUGAGUCAGCAUUUGAAAGUAUAAGUCUCCCAUACAUUUCUGAGGUUGAGGACUGGACAGUCUGCAUUUAUUUGUGGCUCUUCAGUAGUGGUAAGUACAGUUACGAAGUAAUACAUCCAAACUAACCCUUUAAGUAUCCACAGAUGUACAAAUUUAAUACUGUAUGGGAUAAUCAUUUCUUGUUUGGUUGUGUUUCAUUUCCAGUAUUAUGAAUGUGGAAGUGUAAAGAGUGUGCUGCAAAAGAAACAACAAAAUAUCACUUAUUGAAGCACUAUAGGUUAAAACAUGCCACUUUGGCCGCAAACACCCUUAUCCAUGCACAUAUUCAAAUUGCCUGUGCACAUUUAAAACUUGGAAUGCACUUCGAAGUCACCUGUGUAGAUCAAACAAGGUGAUCCACGCACAUCUCCAAAUCAAGUGAAGAAAGCUAGAAGAGCAGAAGUGAACUAUUGUCCAGAUUAUCCAACAGGACAAUCCCAAGAGAACCUUGAGGAAGAGAGACUGGCACUAUUGACUGAGGUGAGAAAGAGCAACAACCAGCAGGUGGUUAAGGAGAAAAUGGAAAAGACAUUUGCUUACAGGCGGCAUGAGGUUAUUGAAGAAAAGCCUUUCAUUGCUGAAUUCAAAAGAAGGUGGCCAGCUCUUUUCUCUGAGCAUGAGGUCAGUCAUAACUAAGUUUUUUACAUUUUAAGGGCGUGAAGGGAUGACAUUAAAAGGAAUCUUCACUAGGGCUGCAACAACAGAUUAUUUUCAUCGAUUUGAUCAUAAAAAUUAUGUCCUCAAAUGUCUGUUUACUCACAACACAGACACUCAGAGGGAAAUUGGACAAUUUUGGCAUUUUUUGGUCUGUAAAAAAAUCUCAAGAUUAUUUGCUGCUCUAACCUUCACCUAAAGGUGAAAAUUAAUGUAAUUAAAUGUAAUUUUCCAGAAAAAGCAUUGUGUCAAAUGUGUUGUACUGCAUGCAUGUGGUGGUCAUUGGAACUGGGCAACUGAGUGAUACCUGUGAAAAUUAUAACUUUGGGGAAAAUAACUAAGGCAUAUCCUAUAUUGCAUUAAUUUAGAAUGAUCCACACACUACCUACUCAUGGGACCAAAUUUUCAUCUUAGGAAGUCCCAAUAACAUUUAAUUGGUCCAGUAAUUUGAUUCUUGUUUUCUUUGACCUCUAUUGUGUUGAUAUUUUUAUACUUUGUUUGUUAAAUGUCUGUAGGUGGAAACAGAGUUUACUCGCAUCACCACUGUCCCACUGAGAUCGAAAUUCAUGCAACAGCUGGAUCAUCAUUCUACACAGCUGAUGACGAUCAAAAGUAAAGGAGGAGCAGCAGGACGGAAAAUAAGGAACAUCAUGGCAGACUUGGAUAAGGUACUUGUCCAUUUUAUUUUAUUCCAAUUUUAUUUAUUUUUUAUGAUGAAGACCAACCAGCUGGUCACCGUAGGGCUAAAAACCGUCCGCCGGUAUAUCAGUGCAUCCGUACUCCAAACAGUUAGAAACUAACCUGCAGAUCUGUGUAUGUUCCACAGAGUGUGGUGCUGAGAUGCAAAUAGCUGACAUUAUAAUGUAGCUC